Molecule: ribosomal RNA, 419 nt
Filed under: uncultured bacterium
Lineage: Bacteria
Description: bacterial SSU rRNA
Rfam family: Bacterial small subunit ribosomal RNA
Source: RNAcentral
UGAGGAAUAUUGCACAAUGGGCGCAAGCCUGAUGCAGCGACGCCGCGUGUGGGAUGAAGGGGCUACGCCUCGUAAACCACUGUAGCCCGGGACGAAAAACGCCUUAGAGGCGUUAGACGGUACCGGGAAAGUAAGGGUCGGCUAACUACGUGCCAGCAGCCGCGGUAAUACGUAGGACCCAAGCGUUGUCCGGAUUUACUGGGUGUAAAGGGUGCGCAGGCGGAUGGGUAAGUCAGGGGUGAAAGUCUGCAGCUUAACUGUAGAAUUUCCUUAGAUACGUCUCCUCUUGAGUGUGGGAGAGGUUGAUGGCAUUCCAGGUGUAGCAGUGAAAUGCGUAGAUAUCUGGAAUAACACCAGUGGCGAAGGCGGUCAACUGGCCCAUAACUGACGCUCAUGCACGAAAGCGUGUGGAGCAAACA